GAUGAACGCUGGCGGCGUGCCUAAUACAUGCAAGUCGAGCGAACGGACGAGAAGCUUGCUUCUCUGAUGUUAGCGGCGGACGGGUGAGUAACACGUGGAUAACCUACCUAUAAGACUGGGAUAACUUCGGGAAACCGGAGCUAAUACCGGAUAAUAUUUUGAACCGCAUGGUUCAAAAGUGAAAGACGGUCUUGCUGUCACUUAUAGAUGGAUCCGCGCUGCAUUAGCUAGUUGGUAAGGUAACGGCUUACCAAGGCAACGAUGCAUAGCCGACCUGAGAGGGUGAUCGGCCACACUGGAACUGAGACACGGUCCAGACUCCUACGGGGGGCAGCAGUAGGGAAUCUUCCGCAAUGGGCGAAAGCCUGACGGAGCAACGCCGCGUGAGUGAUGAAGGUCUUCGGAUCGUAAAACUCUGUUAUUAGGGAAGAACAUAUGUGUAAGUAACUGUGCACAUCUUGACGGUACCUAAUCAGAAAGCCACGGCUAACUACGUGCCAGCAGCCGCGGUAAUACGUAGGUGGCAAGCGUUAUCCGGAAUUAUUGGGCGUAAAGCGCGCGUAGGCGGUUUUUUAAGUCUGAUGUGAAAGCCCACGGCUCAACCGUGGAGGGUCAUUGGAAACUGGAAAACUUGAGUGCAGAAGAGGAAAGUGGAAUUCCAUGUGUAGCGGUGAAAUGCGCAGAGAUAUGGAGGAACACCAGUGGCGAAGGCGACUUUCUGGUCUGUAACUGACGCUGAUGUGCGAAAGCGUGGGGAUCAAACAGGAUUAGAUACCCUGGUAGUCCACGCCGUAAACGAUGAGUGCUAAGUGUUAGGGGGUUUCCGCCCCUUAGUGCUGCAGCUAACGCAUUAAGCACUCCGCCUGGGGAGUACGACCGCAAGGUUGAAACUCAAAGGAAUUGACGGGGACCCGCACAAGCGGUGGAGCAUGUGGUUUAAUUCGAAGCAACGCGAAGAACCUUACCAAAUCUUGACAUCCUUUGACAACUCUAGAGAUAGAGCCUUCCCCUUCGGGGGACAAAGUGACAGGUGGUGCAUGGUUGUCGUCAGCUCGUGUCGUGAGAUGUUGGGUUAAGUCCCGCAACGAGCGCAACCCUUAAGCUUAGUUGCCAUCAUUAAGUUGGGCACUCUAAGUUGACUGCCGGUGACAAACCGGAGGAAGGUGGGGAUGACGUCAAAUCAUCAUGCCCCUUAUGAUUUGGGCUACACACGUGCUACAAUGGACAAUACAAAGGGCAGCGAAACCGCGAGGUCAAGCAAAUCCCAUAAAGUUGUUCUCAGUUCGGAUUGUAGUCUGCAACUCGACUACAUGAAGCUGGAAUCGCUAGUAAUCGUAGAUCAGCAUGCUACGGUGAAUACGUUCCCGGGUCU
This 1372-nucleotide ribosomal RNA is filed under the name uncultured bacterium. RNAcentral describes it as "bacterial SSU rRNA". It matches the Rfam family "Bacterial small subunit ribosomal RNA", at positions 28 to 1381 of the family's 1533-position model. The record is from RNAcentral.